Molecule: ribosomal RNA, 497 nt
Filed under: uncultured bacterium
Lineage: Bacteria
Description: partial 16S ribosomal RNA
Rfam family: Bacterial small subunit ribosomal RNA
Source: RNAcentral
GAUGAACGCUGGCGGCGUGCCUAAUACAUGCAAGUCGAGCGAACAGACGAGGAGCUUGCUCCUCUGACGUUAGCGGCGGACGGGUGAGUAACACGUGGAUAACCUACCUAUAAGACUGGGAUAACUUCGGGAAACCGGAGCUAAUACCGGAUAAUAUAUUGAACCGCAUGGUUCAAUAGUGAAAGACGGUUUUGCUGUCACUUAUAGAUGGAUCCGCGCCGCAUUAGCUAGUUGGUAAGGUAACGGCUUACCAAGGCAACGAUGCGUAGCCGACCUGAGAGGGUGAUCGGCCACACUGGAACUGAGACACGGUCCAGACUCCUACGGGAGGCAGCAGUAGGGAAUCUGCCGCAAUGGGCGAAAGCCUGACAGAGCAACGCCGCGUGAGUGAUGAAGGUCUUCGGAUCGUAAAACUCUGUUAUUAGGGAAGAACAAAUGUGGAAGUAACUAUGCACGUCUUGACGGUACCUAAUCAGAAAGCAACGGCUAACUACGUG